GACGAACGCUGGCGGCGUGCUUAACACAUGCAAUUCGAACGAUGAAGCCGGAGCUUGCUCCGGUGGAUUAGUGGCGAACGGGUGAGAAACACGUGAGCAAUCUGCCCUUGACUCUGGGAUAACUGCGGGAAACUGUAGCUAAUACCGGAUACGACACCUUGGGGCAUCCCAGGGUGUGGAAAGAAUUUCGGUCAAGGAUGAGCUCGCGGCCUAUCAGCUAGUUGGUGAGGUAAUGGCUCACCAAGGCGACGACGGGUAGCCGGCCUGAGAGGGUGACCGGCCACACUGGAACUGAGACACGGUCCAGACUCCUACGGGAGGCAGCAGUGGGGAAUAUUGCACAAUGGGCGAAAGCCUGAUGCAGCAACGCCGCGUGAGGGAUGAAGGCCUUCGGGUUGUAAACCUCUUUUAGCAGGGAAGAAGCGAAAGUGACGGUACCUGCAGAAAAAGCACCGGCUAACUACGUGCCAGCCGCCGCAGUAA
Molecule: ribosomal RNA, 483 nt
Filed under: uncultured bacterium
Lineage: Bacteria
Description: partial 16S ribosomal RNA
Rfam family: Bacterial small subunit ribosomal RNA
Source: RNAcentral